Molecule: ribosomal RNA, 301 nt
Filed under: uncultured bacterium
Lineage: Bacteria
Description: partial 16S ribosomal RNA
Rfam family: Bacterial small subunit ribosomal RNA
Source: RNAcentral
CAGCCGCCACGGUAAUACGUAGGGUGCGAGCGUUAAUCGGAAUUACUGGGCGUAAAGCGUGCGCAGGCGGUUAUAUAAGACAGAUGUGAAAUCCCCGGGCUUAACCUGGGAACUGCAUUUGUGACUGGCGGGCUAGAGUAUGGCAGAGGGGGGUAGAAUUCCACGUGUAGCAGUGAAAUGCGUAGAGAUGUGGAGGAAUACCGAUGGCGAAGGCAGCCCCCUGGGCCAAUACUGACGCUCAUGCACGAAAGCGUGGGGAGCAAACAGGAUUAGAUACCCGUGUAGUCCCUGUCUCUUAUAC